GCGAAAGGCCCCUCCGGGGGCCCGGUAGAGUGGCGCACGGGUGAGUAACACGUAGGUAAUCUACCUCCGGGUGGGGAAUAACGACCGGAAACGGUCGCUAAUACCGCAUAACGCAGCGGCACCACAUGGUGACAGUUGUUAAAGCGGGGGAUCGCAAGACCUCGCGCCUGGAGAUGAGCCUGCGGCGGAUUAGCUAGUUGGCGGGGUAACGGCCCACCAAGGCGACGAUCCGUAGCCGGCCUGAGAGGGCGGACGGCCACACUGGCACUGACAUACGGGCCAGACUCCUACGGGAGGCAGCAGUCGGGAAUUUUGGGCAAUGGGCGCAAGCCUGACCCAGCAACGCCGCGUGAAGGAUGAAGCUUCUCGGAGUGUAAACUUCAUAAGAGUGGGACGAAUAAGCGGGGGAUAACACCCCCCGCGAUGACGGUACCAUUUGUAAGCUCCGGCUAACUCCGUGCCAGCAGCCGCGGUAAUACGGGGGGAGCAAGCGUUGUUCGGAUUUACUGGGCGUAAAGGGCGCGUAGGCGGCGCGACGAGUCACUUGUGAAAUCUCCGGGCUUAACCCGGAGCGGCCAAGUGAUACUGUCGUGCUAGAGUGCGGAAGGGGCUACUGGAAUUCUCGGUGUAGCGGUGAAAUGCGUAGAUAUCGAGAGGAACACCUGCGGCGAAGGCGGGUAGCUGGGCCGACACUGACGCUGAGGCGCGAAAGCCAGGGGAGCGAACGGGAUUAGAUACCCCGGUAGUCC
This 749-nucleotide ribosomal RNA is filed under the name uncultured bacterium. Its description in RNAcentral is "bacterial SSU rRNA". It matches the Rfam family "Bacterial small subunit ribosomal RNA", at positions 66 to 796 of the family's 1533-position model. The record is from RNAcentral.